UACAGAGGGUGCAAGCGUUAAUCGGAAUUACUGGGCGUAAAGCGUGCGUAGACGGUUAUGUAAGUCGGGUGUGAAAGCCCCGGGCUCAACCUGGGGAAUUGCAUUCGAGACUGCAUAGCUAGGGUGCGGAAGAGGGAAGCGGAAUUUCCGGUGUAGCGGUGAAAUGCGUAGAUAUCGGAAGGAACACCAGUGGCGAAAGCGGCUUCCUGGUCCAGCACCGACGUUCAGGCACGAAGCGUGGGGAGCAACAGG
RNAcentral lists this ribosomal RNA (252 nucleotides) under uncultured bacterium. RNAcentral describes it as "partial 16S ribosomal RNA". It matches the Rfam family "Bacterial small subunit ribosomal RNA", at positions 524 to 775 of the family's 1533-position model. The record is from RNAcentral.